AUUGAACGCUGGCGGCAGGCCUAACACAUGCAAGUCGAGCGGUAGAGAGGUGCUUGCAUCUCUUGAGAGCGGCGGACGGGUGAGUAAUGCCUAGGAAUCUGCCUAGUGGUGGGGGGAUAACGUUCGGAAACGGACGCUAAUACCGCAUACGUCCUACGGGAGAAAGCGGGGGAUCUUCGGACCUCGCGCCAUUAGAUGAGCCUAGGUCGGAUUAGCUAGUUGGUGAGGUAAUGGCUCACCAAGGCGACGAUCCGUAACUGGUCUGAGAGGAUGAUCAGUCACACUGGAACUGAGACACGGUCCAGACUCCUACGGGAGGCAGCAGUGGGGGAAUAUUGGACAAUGGGCGGAAAGGACCUGAUCCAGCCAUGCCGCGUGUGUGAAGAAGGUCUUCGGAUUGUAAGCACUUUAAGUUGGGAGGAAGGGUAGUAACCUAAUACGUU
RNAcentral lists this ribosomal RNA (443 nucleotides) under uncultured bacterium. Its description in RNAcentral is "bacterial SSU rRNA". It matches the Rfam family "Bacterial small subunit ribosomal RNA", at positions 30 to 470 of the family's 1533-position model. The record is from RNAcentral.